Molecule: long non-coding RNA, 1053 nt
Organism: Hippoglossus stenolepis (Pacific halibut)
Lineage: Eukaryota; Metazoa; Chordata; Actinopteri; Pleuronectiformes; Pleuronectidae
Exons: 11
Source: RefSeq, a predicted model, not a curated record
AGACUCGUCAGUGACAUCGACUCAAAAUGAAGGUGAACAGCACGUGGCUCAAACGGGUGUUUCCAGGCGUUUGGACUCAUCAAAUGCCUCCCUGGUUGGAGUAUGAUGUAGAGGUGUGAAGAAGCUGGGGAUGAUGAGGUAAAGCUCACGUUUUCUAAAUGUCGAUGGCUUCUGUUUCUCUUGAGGUGUUUGCAAAUCUUUAUUUAGCUAUUGAACAUUUCACCAGGCUCAAAGACAAGGCCUCAGUUGUUGGUCUUAAGUCUGACAAUUGUAUUUUAUAACUUGCAUCCUUUUAUUAACAGGAUCCAUUAAAUCUGAACCAGUUUAAUAACUCUCAAAUCUCUUAAUUUACAAGUAUUUGAUUUUAGAGCCACAUCUGAAAACUCAAAGUGCAGUCUUGGCUCCACUCUGACCACACCUCCAGAGAAGCAUCGGUCUGCACGUGAUCCCUGUGCUGCUGAUGACAUUUAUUUGCUACUCUUGAUCAAACGAUGAUGAUACCAGCAACCACCAUGUUUUAUUAUCUGAGGCACUGAUGAGGCCGUGUCUGACGUCCUGAGAUUCUUUCAUGGCUCACGUAUAUGUCUUGUUUCUGCAGGUGUGAUCACACUGACUGAAUUCACUCUUCGUUCACGACAUUCAAUAAGAUGGUCUCGUGUUUGUGGAUCUGGUCUGAACGCUCUAGUAUGAGCUACUGAAACCUCUCUGGCUACAGAAUGCUAUGACAUGUGACUUCUCCGCCGACUAAACUUCCGGCCUUGUUGAUCUAAUGGGAUCUUGGGCAGUUGGGUGCAGAAGAUGUCACACAAACAAUGUUCUGAUCGCUCUCUGAGAUCCGACUGAACGGCCAAGACGAGGUUGACUGAGGAAAAGGCUGCAUCUCUUGGGCUGACCUUGAAAGCAGAUGUAAUGUCCUCUGGCCCUCAGACAGCCUGAUGUUUUACUCUAAAGAUUCUGUGGUAUUAUGGCGACCGGAGUUUGACCUGCAGACAAUUUAAUAUCUCUUGGCAAAUGUGUUUUCAACAUUGUUGCAAUAAAAUACUCAAAACGAAA